Molecule: ribosomal RNA, 468 nt
Filed under: uncultured bacterium
Lineage: Bacteria
Description: partial 16S ribosomal RNA
Rfam family: Bacterial small subunit ribosomal RNA
Source: RNAcentral
GACGAACGCUGGCGGCGUGCUUAACACAUGCAAGUCGAACGGAAAGGCCCUGUUUUUGUUGGCGGCUAGAGUGGCGAACGGGUGAGUAAUAUGGGAGUAACCUGCCUUUGACGUUGGGAUAACUUCAGGGAACUGGGGCUAAUACCGGAUAGGAGCUGCUGCUGCCUGGUGGGGGUUGGACAGUUUAGGCGGUUGGGGACGGACAUGCGGCUUAUCAGCUUGUUGGUUGAGUAGUGGCUAACCAAGGCUUUGAAGGGUGGCCCGCCGGGGAGGUGGACCGGCCACAUUGGGCCUGAGAUACGGCCCAGACUCCUACGGGGGGCAGCAGUGGGGAAUAUUGCACAAUGGGCGGAAGCCUGAUGCAGCGACGCCGCGUGCGGGAUGACGGCCUUCGAGUUGUAAACCGUUUUCGCCUGUGACGAAGCGUAAGUGACGGUAAUUGGUAAAGAAGCACCGGCUAACUACGUG